RNAcentral lists this ribosomal RNA (345 nucleotides) under uncultured bacterium. Its description in RNAcentral is "bacterial SSU rRNA". It matches the Rfam family "Bacterial small subunit ribosomal RNA", at positions 9 to 349 of the family's 1533-position model. The record is from RNAcentral.
GAGUUUGAUCAUGGCUCAAGACGAACGCUGGCGGCGCGCCUAACACAUGCAAGUCGAACGAGAGAGAAGGAGCUUGCUUCUUCGAUCGAGUGGCGAACGGGUGAGUAACGCGUGAGGAACCUGCCUCAAAGAGGGGGACAACAGUUGGAAACGACUGCUAAUACCGCAUAAGCCCACGGGUCGGCAUCGAUCUGAGGGAAAAGGAGCAAAUCCGCUUUGAGAUGGCCUCGCGUCCGAUUAGCUAGUUGGUGAGGUAACGGCCACCAAGGCGACGAUCGGUAGCCGGACUGAGAGGUUGAACGGCCACAUUGGGACUGAGACACGGCCCAGACUCCUACGGGAGCA